RNAcentral lists this ribosomal RNA (248 nucleotides) under uncultured bacterium. RNAcentral describes it as "partial small subunit ribosomal RNA". It matches the Rfam family "Bacterial small subunit ribosomal RNA", at positions 26 to 288 of the family's 1533-position model. The record is from RNAcentral.
AGAAUCAACGCUGGCGGCGUGCCUAACACAUGCAAGUCGAACGAGAAAGGGACUUCGGUCCUGAGUACAGUGGCGCACGGGUGAGUAACACGUGACUAACCUACCCUGGAGUGGGGAAUAACUGAGGGAAACCUUAGCUAAUACCGCAUAAUACCUACGGGUCAAAGGAGCAAUUCGCUUAAGGAGGGGGUCGCGGCCGAUUAGUUAGUUGGCGGGGUAAUGGCCCACCAAGACGAUGAUCGGUAUCC